CGGGACGGAGCGCGGAGGCGGUGCCGCCUCACGGGGCGGUGCCGAACUGGAGCAGGAACAGCUUUCUUGAGUUUGAAAUGCAGGGGCAAGACACUCCCCUUGAAUUUCUUCAUUCUGUCACAUCAGACAGAGUAGAAGGGCUGCCUCCCUGCUCUUCUUGCCCAUGUAACAAAAUCUAUGAAAAUAUGGAUGACUUUACAACCACUGGGGCAGGAGCAAGCAAAGAGGAGAGGGAGAGCUGUUCUUCUGACACAGCAUCCCAGCACUGAGCUCAGGAAAGCGAUGGACUGGAAAAUCCUCCGUUCGUUCUGUCAAAACAGCCCCGGGCCUCGGUUGUUUUGGAGCUGCAUCCUGCUGGAGCCACAUGCAGUUAACCCUGCCAGGCCAGUGCAGGCUCUCCCCUCUGUGCAGUGCUGGGAAGGGGCUCACAUCUGCUCCUCUGAGCCUGAGGCUUCCAGGGGGCCUCUGGCAGCGGGCAUGGUUCCAUGGCACGUCACUGCCAUGUUCAUGCACACCUAUGCUCUUCCUUUUCCUUUUCCCUUUGUUGUAUUCUAGCCCUGGAGAGUAAAUUGUUCUUGUAUAACCUAUAUGGGAGAAGAAAAACACCGUGUGCCAAUGAUUUCUGUCAGGGUGCAGGGGAUAUAUUAAAUGUGAUCUGGUUUGUUGGUAGCUUUGCCAGUGCCUCAGUAGGUACUGACUCUGUGUUUAGAGUCAGAAGUGUCUUUAAAUUCCUCUUGGAAUCUGUGGUGUUUUCAGAUCAUUGAUAAUUUGAGUUGGGUGGCUUUGUCUUUCUUCUUGUCUUUUGCUCUUGAUGAUGUCCCCACUCCUCUUGAAUAUGCCCCCACUGAGAAUUCUGUUUCCUCUGGGAUGCGUGGCACCCUUACAGGUUACGGAAAGGACAACACCACUGGCUGAUCUCAACAUUUAUAAUACACUUAAUUCUCCUCAUUUUCUGAUUUAGUAAUAAAUUUUAAAGAGGAAUUGUGUCUAAUGUGGAAGACAAUGUUGAAAUUACUCAAAUAAUCAAAUAAACUGUGUAGAAGACAGGUAUAUAAUUGCUUAGAGGUUAAAAAAGUGAGAUGUUAUGAGUCUGGAGAGUUAUGAAAGUGUGUGACAAAGUAAGGUUAAGCUCAGUAAAUGAUGCCAGAGGUCUUUCCCUUAGGUAGUAAAUUCUUGGGUCUCCUCGAGUCCUGUAUGGGUCCAGAUGCCAAGAGGUGUCCUUGCCUCUGAGAUUCUAUAGUCUGAAUGAUGGAGGCUGAGUUCCAGAGCCGUUUUACAGAAAGCUGCCCCAGAAACACCAUUAAAUAAAAAACUCAUUGCCUGGUCCAGGCAGCUCCUUCAGUACUUAUCUCAAACUGGAAGACAUGUUUUGAGUUGGGAGCAUCUAUCUCAUUCCAGAAACUGGAGGUCCUGUCCUUCAGAAACAGUCUGGAACACCUUGGGAACCUAAAGAGACCACUGAUGUCCCCCUCCUGUUUCCUGAGAUGCUAAAAAAUGCAAUUGAAACAAUUGAAAUGAAUUAUAAAAGAAAUCCCAUUUAUCUUGAGAGGCAAGUGUAAUUGAAAGACUGAUGGGUGAACUCCCAGGUACCUUUACAUUUCAUAGAGUCAAUAUUUGUUCUUUCUCCAUUUAUAACCCCAUUACUCUCUCUAGGUGGGCAGGAGAUUUCAAGGGGGACCAUUUGUUUUUCUUGAUUAAUGCAUUAAUGCUGGUGGUUUGUCAUAGUAAAUUAUAUCUGCUAUCUCAACCUCUGUAUGCAGGAGGAAAAGCAAGUAAAAAAUUUAUGAUCAAAUUGCUCAAAGUCAUGGCUUCUCAUUAUUUUUAACAUAACAAAUCAACUUCUGCUCUUCAUUAUUGACUGGUGACUAACCUGAAGAGAAAAUGCCUCUUAUAUCCUUUGUUUUGCAAAAGCUCUCUAGAAAUCAUAACAUUAUUUUCCACUGCAGUGGCUCAGAUGUGUGCAGUACUAUUGUGUGGAAAUAGGUGGGAGAGAGAAACUGCUGCUUUGUCUUAUGUCUCACUUUGCUUUCCUCUGGACUCACAGCAGGGCUUUCACCUCAGAACUGGGCUUUACAAGCUUUGAGUCUCUGCCUCUUCCACUACAGAAGCAGCAGAAGCUCUGGACACUGAAGAAGCUCUCAGAUCUCCUGGAUAUUCACAGCACCAUUUGUGGCAAUAUUCUUUGGCUGAAAACCAAACUGCCUCAAAUCAGACUCCUUUUAAUGGACAAAGCUGCUUUUCCUCUACUGGCAGAAGGUUCAUUUUACAGAAGGAGCAUUAGGUGGAGACGAGCUGGUGUGCUGUGUUGGGAUAGAUUCAGUGAACUGAAAAAAAAUUGUUUUACCUUUCACUGUGGGAAAGGAAAAGGGAAUUUGAUUAGUUAUGCAUGUCAAAGAUGGGGUUAGCAAGUGAAGCAAGAAAUUACCUGUAGUAAUAAAUACAAGAGUUUCUCCAUGGACAACAAUACCUGAGAUUGAGAAUGACCAGGGAAGGGCUAUGCAUGAAACAGCACCAGGGGAUAAUUGCAGGACAGGGCAGAGCACAGCACCAGUGUUGGGCAGGGUAAGGCUGGGAGGGGGAUGCUGGCUUGUGGGUCUUCACAAAGGGAUAGUCCAGCAAAAACUGGAAAAUAUUUUGGAAUCUAAGUGGGCUCUAGUCUCUUUUUGCCUCUGCUGAGGUGUUUCUGAGGCAAGUUACUUGUGUUAGAAAAGCCAUUUUUUAUACUUAUUUUAUACUUAUUUUAUGUAGUCUCUGGAUGCACACAACCACUAAGCUAUGCCCAUACACACAGAGCUCUGCACAUAGCACUGCUGUCAGUCCAGGUAAUGCCCUGCCUGGUGAACUCUGACAUUUUCAAAUCUCUUGUAAAAAAGCUGUAAAAACCUGUAAAGUUUCCUUCCUUCCUCUGCAACCUUUCUAGCUGAUCUGGUGAGUAGCAUGACCGCAUUAGGUUUCAGUGAUGUGUGAACAGAGACAAUGACUGCAGCCAAAUUUCAGUAUGAACUUUCUGCAGUGGGAAGCAUCCCUUGCCCUGGAAGCAAGUUAACUGCAGUUCACUAAUGAUAGUGUUGUGGCUACAGAGUGUGGAGAUUUGACUGUCUUGGACUUCAAUGCCCUUGUAAAUUCCUUGGGUUGUUUUAGAUUACAUAGUCCAAUGCUGUCUGCACUGCCCAGAACACCUGGACUUUGUCACUGGACCACUGUGAAAAAAAUACCUGGUGAUAUUAUUGGCCUGAAUACUAAAAUGCAUGUGAAAGCAUAUGGUUACUCUUGAAACAGCCUUCUCAAAUGGAAAAGAUCUAAAAGAGGAAAGGAAAAUGUAUGUUUAAGUACAUGUGAAAGGAGAACACAAACCUGUUCUUCUUGCAAAUGGUAGAUGUAGUCCAUUGUUGAAUUUGCAUUGAUGCCAGUGAAAUUACACUUGGGAUUAAUUUUCCCAUUCAGCAGAAAAGCAUUUCCUCUGAUUCCCUUUGAUUUUUUACCAGUUUGUGAUCUGUGAGCCAGAGGGUUUUUGUGUAAUUUGCACUCUGUCCAAAACCAAGGGAAAUACCCUCUGCUCCACGGCAAUGAUAAAUCUGAGGGAAAAGCUGAUCUGUCCAACUUGUGUUGGAACCAGGGAAGCCAGUGAGGUUUUUUCACUGACUUCUCCAGAUCAAGCUUAAGCACAGUCUAUGCUGAAUGCUCCUGAAGGAAUGGAGUGUCCUGCUGAUCACUGUGAAUAGGUGGGAGCACAAACACAGAGCAACCUGGGCUGUAGCCGUGCUGAAGUCUGGAGACUGCAGGAUGCCCUGACAUUCCUGGGCAGCUCUAAUCAGGCUUGCCAGAGUAGCAGAAGGAGAAGAUGCUGUAACACUGGCAGACAGUCUGCUCUGGGGUUGUUUUUUCAGCUCUCAGCCCAUGUCACUGUAUCUUCACCAAGGAUAUUACACACUCCUGAAGCACUGUUGGGUCUCUUAGAACACAUCACCUGUUUGUGGUCACACUAUCAAAUUCCAAACCAUGAUUCCUUUCUGCCUGUUGGGAAUGGCCAAAGUUCCUGCCAACGCCCAAGCCAUGCUCAGAAAUGUUCUGGAUGCCAGGUGGCCUGGAUCAAAAGUGAACCAAGGACAAGUCCAGAAUGUGAGUGGCAGUCACUAUGUUCAGACCCUUAUGUGGUUCAGACUAUUAGUAUAGAGGUGGGUUUUUUGAAAAGGCUUCAUGACAAUACUUGGAAACAAUCCUUUUUGUGGGAAAGGCCUCUGGCAACAAAAAUGGCUCUUCCAGUGUAAGUUAUAACAGUAGUUUCCCUGAGGAUGGGCUCUCUGUAGAGGAUGUGUGCCCAUGAGGGACAGAAGAACCCGAGGAAUGCUGAAGGACUCUCUUCUUGUCCUACAAUCUGCUGCCUUUGCAUGCCCUCAGAGUGGAGUACAGAGGUUUGUGAUAAAUGCCCAUGGUAUCAUUUUAAGAAUGAAUGUUGAGAUUAUUCUUUUUUUUUUUUUAAUUUUAAAUCAAAUAACAUUAUAGCAUGUUACUACCAUAGGACAGGCAGAGAACUUCUAGACAAAUUAAUCUGAGAAACAAUUCUGGGUCCUGUGGAAAUUAAAGACAAUGUAAAUUAUUUGUGAGAGUUGGUAGUAAAACAGGAAAAACAAAAGAGAAGAACCUAGUGGAGAUCUCGAUUAGAAAGGGUCUGUAACCUGAAGUGACUCAUGUCUAUAAAGCAGUAGGAUUGAGACAAUUCUCCCUGGAUUAUCAUAGGUGAAAUAAUAGGAAAAACAUACUGCUGCUCACACUGAACCAGCUGGGAUGUCUCUGCUCUUCAAAAUGAAGACCAACGAGGUCAGAGAUAAGUGUCCUCAGGAGUCAAAUUCAGCUUUUCAUCUAAGAAGCACUCCCAGAGAGCUAUUGAAUAUACUCAUGGAAAUAAAGUGGUGGAAAAUAGUAAAGCCAGUACCUACCAUCAUCCAAUUAUUGGAGAAAUCUACCCAGAAAAACUGUUACAGGAGGACUUCUGAGUCAGGUCAAGUGGAGAACAGUUUCACUUUACAGAUAUCAGAAGACAGUGAAGGUCCUGAAGGUCUCAGUGAAACUUGUCUCUUUAAACCUUUAUGUGACUUGCAGUGUAGUACAAAGAUCAAGAUGACUCCAGAUUCCUGUGGGUCUAAUACAGGGAUUAAAAUCCUGUGCACAAGGUACCAACUAAACCCAACUGAGUAUGCUGAUCCCAGAAAAGUCAGCAGAUUACACAGUACCCUCUGACACAGAACAUGGAAUCAUUAGAAUAAACAGAAUUCCCACUGAGAGAGGCUUCAACACCAGUUACUUGGUAAGACAUGAGGAGAAAGUUUUCAGCUUUGUUGAGGAUCACUUUGUAGUCUUUAAAUAUUUUACUUUUGACAUUUUCAUGCAUUGGAGGAUUUUGCACCACUUUGUUCAGUGUUUCCCAGUGUUUCAGUGGGAUAAGUGCAUCACUUGGGGCUUUUACUCUGCACAGAAUUUGGUUGAAGCACUACCCCCACUUGAAACUUUUCCCAGUAUGGAGCAAAGUCCUCCAGGUUUUAUGUUCGUUUUGUAAACUGAAGUGAUUGAGUGACACAAAAUGUGAAAACUUCAAAGGCUUUUCAGUUUGAAUAUUCUGCACAGCUGUUGUUUAGCAUUGAAUAUGGAUUUUACUUGUGAGAUACUUGGUGUUGUAUUGCAAAACUUCAUUAUGUGAAGUCCUCUGCCUUCAAAUUGAUGAAAGCAAACAGUGCUUACUUCCAUGAGUAACCCCAUCUGUUUCCAUAAUACACUCUUAGGGGAAAGAUUAAGAAAAAAAGGAAACAAAGAGCUGUACUCUGCUGGGAAACUUUGCUAUUUUAUAUUGAAGUUCUGACCACCCAGUUUACAUUUCUUUCUGUAGGUAUACAUGCACGUAUACUUUGUUAUAAAUUUACAUUCAUUUACAAGGAAUGUGGCCAAGUGGAAAG
Long non-coding RNA from Passer domesticus (house sparrow), 5948 nucleotides. RefSeq lists it as uncharacterized. The transcript is spliced from 3 exons. NCBI's taxonomy places the organism in Eukaryota, Metazoa, Chordata, Aves, Passeriformes, Passeridae. The record is from RefSeq and is a predicted model, not a curated record.